This 1190-nucleotide long non-coding RNA is filed under the name Felis catus (domestic cat). RNAcentral describes it as "lncRNA (ENSFCAG00000041967.2)". Lineage: Eukaryota; Metazoa; Chordata; Mammalia; Carnivora; Felidae. The record is from RNAcentral.
CAAUUCUUAUGUAAUUAUAUGGAACUCUAAUUUAAGGUAGGCUGUGGGUGACCUUCAGUGUAUCUAAUAUGUUGUGAAUGGGACCCCAAAAUAAAAUUUCCCCAGAAGUGGUGGUGGUUGCUAAUGAUUCCUGUUCUUCUGUCACUGGAUACCUUGUGGAGUGACAGUGAACGUGCAGCUUUUAGGGGGCAGGGGUGGGAAUGGGAGGACUCCUUCUCAACUGCCACAAUGGGGUCUGGGGCUCAGAUCCUGACCCUGAGAGGGAUCAGCCACAGAACCAGGAUCCUGGAUCAGGGGUGGCACCCUCCUGCAAUGUUGAAGAAUCAGCACUAGGGGACAGCCGAGAGCCAAGUCAGGCUGGGAGGGCGCCUGGGAGCUUCCCCGCAUCCUCUGCUCUCCCUGCCAGUCUCCCGCCUGGGACCAUCCCUACCACCAAGACAGUUGCUACAGCUUAGAAGAUGGUGCCAUUUUUCAAAAGGGAAUCGCUUUGCAAGUAAACCUAAGUGUUUCACCGGCUCCUUCCAGUGGGAUACUCAGAAAUAUUCAAGAUAGGGACAGCCUUCCAGGAUCAGCCAGAGUGUUCUUACAACUUCCCCGCAGAGGCCACUUCUUUGGUGAAUUUCUCCUGGACUGCAUCCCUGCCCAACCUCCCUCCACCUGUCCACACCUCUGUUUGCCUAUAAGCCACACGGCAGGUGAGUUUCAGGAGUCUGCGGGUCCCUGGAAUGCAAAUAACCAGAAACAGUUCGAAUCUCAGAGGUGGGGCGCAGGGGGGUCUGUGCAUGCACAUUUUUCCAGGGAAGGACCUAAAGCUUUUCAUCGCUUCUCCAAAUCAUUCUUUCCUGAGCUAAGGAGGCUAAAACGGCAAGUGUGGAGCGAGAGAGCAGUGAAUAAUUCUCCCUUAGAGCAGUACCACUGGGGAAAUCUGCUCUGAGGGGAAAGAACCCCUCUCCCCACUCCUCUGUGUUGAGGGGCAUCUGGUAAGAACAGACAGCAGGCACAGCCCGUCCAAAUGGGUCAACCGUCCACAGGGGUCAGAUGUGGCAACACAGCCUGAAGGAUGCCCUGAGGCUGGAGCAAAGCUGGCUCCAUGCAGACUGGCCGCUGUGAGCAGAGGGGUGGCUCAAGGCUCUGCCGCCUCCACGCCCCCACCCCUGCCCCCAGCCCUGUACCCUGUAGGUGACUAGCAG